RNAcentral lists this ribosomal RNA (253 nucleotides) under uncultured bacterium. Its description in RNAcentral is "partial 16S ribosomal RNA". It matches the Rfam family "Bacterial small subunit ribosomal RNA", at positions 524 to 776 of the family's 1533-position model. The record is from RNAcentral.
UACGUAGGGAGCAAGCGUUGUCCGGAAUCAUUGGGCGUAAAGCGCGCGUAGGCGGCCCGGUAAGUCCGUUGUGAAAGUCAAAGGCUCAACCUUUGAAUGCCGAUGGAUACUGCCGGGCUCGAGUCCGGAAGAGGCGAGUGGAAUUCCUGGUGUAGCGGUGGAAUGCGCAGAUAUCAGGAGGAACACCAAUAGCGAAGGCAGCUCGCUGGGACGGUACUGACGCUAAGGCGCGAAAGCGUGGGGAGCGAACAGG